CGCUGAGCGGCGUGCCUAAUACUGCAAGUCGAGCGAACAGAUAAGGAGCUUGCUCCUUUGACGUUAGCGGCGGACGGGUGAGUAACACGUGGGUAACCUACCUAUAAGACUGGGAUAACUUCGGGAAACCGGAGCUAAUACCGGAUAAUAUUUCGAACCGCAUGGUUCGAUAGUGAAAGAUGGUUUUGCUAUCACUUAUAGAUGGACCCGCGCCGUAUUAGCUAGUUGGUAAGGUAACGGCUUACCAAGGCGACGAUACGUAGCCGACCUGAGAGGGUGAUCGGCCACACUGGAACUGAGACACGGUCCAGACUCCUACGGGAGGCAGCAGUAGGGAAUCUUCCGCAAUGGGCGAAAGCCUGACGGAGCAACGCCGCGUGAGUGAUGAAGGUCUUCGGAUCGUAAAACUCUGUUAUUAGGGAAGAACAUACGUGUAAGUAACUGUGCACGUCUUGACGGUACCUAAUCAGAAAGCCACGGCUAACUACGUGCCAGCAGCCGCGGUAAUACGUAGGUGGCAAGCGUUAUCCGGAAUUAUUGGGCGUAAAGCGCGCGUAGGCGGUUUUUUAAGUCUGAUGUGAAAGCCCACGGCUCAACCGUGGAGGGUCAUUGGAAACUGGAAAACUUGAGUGCAGAAGAGGAAAGUGGAAUUCCAUGUGUAGCGGUGAAAUGCGCAGAGAUAUGGAGGAACACCAGUGGCGAAGGCGACUUUCUGGUCUGUAACUGACGCUGAUGUGCGAAAGCGUGGGGAUCAACAGGA
This 760-nucleotide ribosomal RNA is filed under the name Staphylococcus sp. 'Staph. M4'. Its description in RNAcentral is "bacterial SSU rRNA". It matches the Rfam family "Bacterial small subunit ribosomal RNA", at positions 34 to 777 of the family's 1533-position model. Lineage: Bacteria; Bacillati; Bacillota; Bacilli; Caryophanales; Staphylococcaceae. The record is from RNAcentral.